This is a long non-coding RNA of Haplochromis burtoni (Burton's mouthbrooder), 278 nucleotides long. RefSeq lists it as uncharacterized. Lineage: Eukaryota; Metazoa; Chordata; Actinopteri; Cichliformes; Cichlidae. The record is from RefSeq and is a predicted model, not a curated record. The transcript is spliced from 2 exons.
AGGCAAUAUAACUUUGUUGGGUGCCAUGGAAAGCGGGAAUUUCGAGGGCUUAAAGUUUUUGAAGUGCUAUAUGGACCAAUGGAUUGGUGAAUGAGUGAGAAGCUGUGGUUUGCUGCAUUUGUUUUUCCUUUAAACUGUAUAACAUUUAUUUGUUAUUGUUUUGUGUAUACUGUGGACAUUUUUGUCAACAUGUUCUCCAAACAAAAAAUGUAUUAUAUAAAAAAGCAUACUGUUUUAAAAUUUCAUAGUAAUCAGUAUUAAUAAAAAAGAUAAACUGG